GACGAACGCUGGCGGCGUGCUUAACACAUGCAAGUCGAACGGAAAGGCCCUGCUUUUGUGGGGUUCUCGAGUGGCGAACGGGUGAGUAACACGUGAGUAACCUGCCCUUGACUUUGGGAUAACUUCAGGAAACUGGGGCUAAUACCGGAUAGGAGCUCCUGCUGCAUGGGGGGGGUUGGAAAGUUUCGGCUGUUGGGGCUGGACUCGCGGCUUAUCAGCUUGUUGGUGGGGUAGUGGCUUACCCAGGGUUUGACGGGUAGCCGGCCUGAGAGGGUGACCGGCCACAUUGGGCCUACGAUACGGACCAGACUCCUACGGGAGGCAGCAGUGGGGAAUAUUGCACAAUGGGCGGAAGCGUGAUGCAGCAACGCUGCGUGCGGGAUGACGGCCUUCGGGUUGUAAACCGCUUUCGCCUGAGACGAAGCGUGAGUGACGGUAAUGGGUAAAGAAGCACCGGCUAACUACGUG
Molecule: ribosomal RNA, 468 nt
Filed under: uncultured bacterium
Lineage: Bacteria
Description: partial 16S ribosomal RNA
Rfam family: Bacterial small subunit ribosomal RNA
Source: RNAcentral